This 487-nucleotide ribosomal RNA is filed under the name uncultured bacterium. RNAcentral's name for it is "bacterial SSU rRNA". It matches the Rfam family "Bacterial small subunit ribosomal RNA", at positions 30 to 504 of the family's 1533-position model. The record is from RNAcentral.
AUUGAACGCUGGCGGCAUGCUUUACACAUGCAAGUCGGACGGCAGCACAGAGAAGCUUGCUUCUUGGGUGGCGAGUGGCGAACGGGUGAGUAAUAUAUCGGAACGUACCGAGUAAUGGGGGAUAACUAAUCGAAAGAUUAGCUAAUACCGCAUAUUCCCUGAGGAGGAAAGCAGGGGACCUUCGGGCCUUGCGUUAUUCGAGCGGCCGAUAUCUGAUUAGCUAGUUGGUGGGGUAAAGGCCUACCAAGGCGACGAUCAGUAGCGGGUCUGAGAGGAUGAUCCGCCACACUGGGACUGAGACACGGCCCAGACUCCUACGGGAGGCAGCAGUGGGGAAUUUUGGACAAUGGGCGCAAGCCUGAUCCAGCCAUGCCGCGUGUCUGAAGAAGGCCUUCGGGUUGUAAAGGACUUUUGUCAGGGAAGAAAAGGACAGGGUUAAUACCCCUGUUUGAUGACGGUACCUGAAGAAUAAGCACCGGCUACUCUC